RNAcentral lists this transfer RNA (24 nucleotides) under Eritrichium nanum. RNAcentral describes it as "partial tRNA-His". Lineage: Eukaryota; Viridiplantae; Streptophyta; Magnoliopsida; Boraginales; Boraginaceae. The record is from RNAcentral.
UUUUAAAAGUAUAUAAAAAGAGGG